GCAGCAUAGAACUGAUUGUGGUCCUCUGAUGCAUUUCUGGUGUCGAGAGCUUCCUUUCUCAUCCUCCCCUUCCCCCAUAGCCACUCCCACAAGCUGUCCCAUCAAGGAAUAUUUCAGGUGUAAACUGAAUAUACCACGAGGCCUCCUCUUCAUGAAGUGCUUGGUUGGCCUACGUAUGGGCGGCAGGCUGGACACAGCUGAAUCGUCUUUCUGGGUCACCCUGUAACUCAAGUCCCCUUUCCCGUUCUCUCCCAAGGCUACUUAUCCGCAGGAAUUGGAUGCCGGCUGGCCCCCCGAUGGUUCCUGGCCUAGGGGCUGUCAUGGCAGAGGGAAGCCACCAAGGGCCCUGUGCUAAUCACGAGUCUUUCCUGUUCAGAGCAGUGAGGCCUGAGACCCUCAACGGUGCUGUGUGUACAGAAGGCCCCCAGAAUCCACAGAAAGGGCCCGCCUGAAACCUAGAGCAUUUGUGAAGGAGGAGAAUGGAAGGAACAACUGGAUGUUGUAAAUGUUUCUCAUCUGGCCUUAAAAUCCAUGAAAGCUGGAAAAUGCCAAGGCAUCUGUGCACAUACUGGUGGAUUUUAAUGAGAGUCCUGUGUUUGGAGCACCAGAAAUAAACCAGCUUCAGAAGCAAAGAUUUGAACGUCUAUGACACUCUUCCGAGCUGACACAGUGAAGAACAUGGAAGGAGAACUCACCCAGUCUGCCAGGGUCACAGAUGAUCAUACUCAAGAUCUUCCUGGGGAGUCAACGGCAAAUUUCACUGGGCUACUUUACAGAUGAAGAAGGAAUAUAAAGAAGGUUCUGGGACCCU
This 811-nucleotide small RNA is filed under the name Pongo abelii (Sumatran orangutan). RNAcentral describes it as "retained intron". The record is from RNAcentral. Lineage: Eukaryota; Metazoa; Chordata; Mammalia; Primates; Hominidae.